UCUUGAGCUACCGAGCUAUACUAAUUUACAGCAUUUACUAAUAAAAAUUAGAAUUUUAAUAAUUUUAUCCUAUUUACGACGCCAUAAUUAAUAAACUCUUAAACUAAGACCGAAACUUGUCAAAAAAUAAAUUCGGCCAGGCUCAACAGCCCUGAUAUUUUCAGAGAAAAGCACUGCCCUAACUGCCCGAACCCCUGUAGAGAGAUUACGGGCAGCUUCCUCAGUAACCCCCUCCCCUUCACCCAAACGCACCAGAACGAAGAGUCCUCUCUCUUUCUAUCACAAUCUCUUGGUCUCUAUUGAUUCUCUGCUUGAUCGGACGGUCAGAAAUCGACGCUAUUUCUAAUCUGAUUUUUUUUCAUCUUUUACCUUCUAAAACUCUCCGAUCUGCUUCAUCCAAGUUGAUCGGACGGUCAGAAAUCAACGCUGCUUCUAAUCUGAUUUUUUUCAUCUUUUAGCUUCGAAAACUCUCCGACCUGCUUCAUCCAAGCUCAGAUCUAUUUCUCUGGUAAGUUUCUAGCUCCAAUUUGCUAAAUCUUUUUCAACUGUGUUUUUUCACCAGAUUUCUUUUUCAGAAUUAGUUAAUAUUUCGAAAAAAUAAGCUCUGAAUAACAGUUGACUUCUGUCGUCUUCUUCUGUUGCAACUAAUAAAAAACGAUUUUUUUCUAUUUAACUAGUUUUGUUUUUGUUAAAUUUUUGGUUUUUUUUUGUGAAGAAAUUGUACGGUUGAGAUUAAAGUGUAGUUUGGAUCAAACGGUGUGUUACUGCAGGU
This 772-nucleotide long non-coding RNA is filed under the name Nicotiana benthamiana. Its description in RNAcentral is "long non-coding RNA (NBEN_LNC012047)". Lineage: Eukaryota; Viridiplantae; Streptophyta; Magnoliopsida; Solanales; Solanaceae. The record is from RNAcentral.